RNAcentral lists this ribosomal RNA (453 nucleotides) under uncultured Acidovorax sp. Its description in RNAcentral is "bacterial SSU rRNA". It matches the Rfam family "Bacterial small subunit ribosomal RNA", at positions 927 to 1382 of the family's 1533-position model. Lineage: Bacteria; Pseudomonadati; Pseudomonadota; Betaproteobacteria; Burkholderiales; Comamonadaceae. The record is from RNAcentral.
AAGCGGUGGAUGAUGUGGUUAAUUCGAUGCAACGCGAAAACCUUACCACCUUUGACAUGUACGGAAUCCUUUAGAGAUAGAGGAGUGCUCGAAAGAGAGCCGUAACACAGGUGCUGCAUGGCUGUCGUCAGCUCGUGUCGUGAGAUGUUGGGUUAAGUCCCGCAACGAGCGCAACCCUUGUCAUUAGUUGCUACAUUCAGUUGGGCACUCUAAUGAGACUGCCGGUGACAAACCGGAGGAAGGUGGGGGAUGACGUCAAGUCCUCAUGGCCCUUAUAGGUGGGGCUACACACGUCAUACAAUGGAUGGUACAAAGGGUCGCCAACCCGCGAGGGGGAGCCAAUCCCAUAAAGCCAUUCGUAGUCCGGAUCGCAGUCUGCAACUCGACUGCGUGAAGUCGGAAUCGCUAGUAAUCGUGGAUCAGAAUGUCACGGUGAAUACGUUCCCGGGUCUU